This 253-nucleotide ribosomal RNA is filed under the name uncultured bacterium. RNAcentral's name for it is "partial 16S ribosomal RNA". It matches the Rfam family "Bacterial small subunit ribosomal RNA", at positions 524 to 776 of the family's 1533-position model. The record is from RNAcentral.
UACGUAGGGUGCGAGCGUUGUCCGGAAUUAUUGGGCGUAAAGCGCACGUAGGCGGCCGAAUAAGUCGGGUGUGAAAGCCCUGGGCUCAACCCAGGAAGUGCACUCGAUACUGCUCGGCUUGAAUAUGGAAGAGGGUUGCGGAAUUCCCGGUGUAGAGGUGAAAUUCGUAGAUAUCGGGAGGAACACCAGUGGCGAAGGCGGCAACCUGGGCCAAUAUUGACGCUGAGGUGCGAAAGCGUGGGGAGCAAACAGG